Molecule: ribosomal RNA, 253 nt
Filed under: uncultured bacterium
Lineage: Bacteria
Description: partial 16S ribosomal RNA
Rfam family: Bacterial small subunit ribosomal RNA
Source: RNAcentral
UACGGAGGGUGCAAGCGUUGUUCGGAAUUAUUGGGCGUAAAGGGCAAGUAGGUGGUCUAGUAAGUUUACUGUGAAAUCCCCGAGCUUAACUUGGGAAGUGCGGUGAAUACUGCAAGACUAGAGUAUCGGAGGGGUACGUGGAAUUCCCAGUGUAGCGGUGAAAUGCGUAGAUAUUGGGAGGAACACCAGAGGCGAAGGCGGCGUACUGGACGAUAACUGACACUCAAUUGCGAAAGCGUGGGGAGCAAACAGG